UCCAAAGGUCCCGAGUUCAAAUCCCAGCAAU
Molecule: non-coding RNA, 31 nt
Filed under: Mus musculus (house mouse)
Lineage: Eukaryota; Metazoa; Chordata; Mammalia; Rodentia; Muridae
Source: RNAcentral